UCCUUCGUGGUGUAACCGUUAUCACAUUCGGCUCGUAUUCGAGAGGUCCAGGUUCCAGUCCCGGCAAGGGCA
This 72-nucleotide transfer RNA is filed under the name Stegodyphus mimosarum. It matches the Rfam family "tRNA". Rfam says of the family: Transfer RNA (tRNA) molecules are approximately 80 nucleotides in length. Their secondary structure includes four short double-helical elements and three loops (D, anti-codon, and T loops). The record is from Rfam by way of RNAcentral. Lineage: Eukaryota; Metazoa; Arthropoda; Arachnida; Araneae; Eresidae.